GUUGAGGUCUAUCCCGAUGCCACCUUGCCGUAGGUUCCUAUCGUUGGAAAUACCUCACAGAGGAAACUUGUGGUUUCGCUUUACCCACUAAACUGUAUGUUAGCUUAGUGGGAUAAAACUGCAAGACAGCA
Molecule: small nucleolar RNA, 131 nt
Organism: Podarcis muralis (Common wall lizard)
Lineage: Eukaryota; Metazoa; Chordata; Lepidosauria; Squamata; Lacertidae
Source: Ensembl